Molecule: ribosomal RNA, 2923 nt
Filed under: Klebsiella pneumoniae
Lineage: Bacteria; Pseudomonadati; Pseudomonadota; Gammaproteobacteria; Enterobacterales; Enterobacteriaceae
Description: bacterial LSU rRNA
Rfam family: Bacterial large subunit ribosomal RNA
Source: RNAcentral
GGGUUGUGAGGUUAAGCGACUAAGCGUACACGGUGGAUGCCCUGGCAGUCAGAGGCGAUGAAGGACGUGCUAAUCUGCGAAAAGCGUCGGUAAGGUGAUAUGAACCGUUAUAACCGGCGAUGUCCGAAUGGGGAAACCCAGUGCAAUUCGUUGCACUAUCGUUAACUGAAUACAUAGGUUAACGAGGCGAACCGGGGGAACUGAAACAUCUAAGUACCCCGAGGAAAAGAAAUCAACCGAGAUUCCCCCAGUAGCGGCGAGCGAACGGGGAGCAGCCCAGAGUCUGAAUCAGCUUGUGUGUUAGUGGAACGGUCUGGAAAGUCCGACGGUACAGGGUGAUAGUCCCGUACACCAAAAUGCACAGGCUGUGAACUCGAAGAGUAGGGCGGGACACGUGGUAUCCUGUCUGAAUAUGGGGGGACCAUCCUCCAAGGCUAAAUACUCCUGACUGACCGAUAGUGAACCAGUACCGUGAGGGAAAGGCGAAAAGAACCCCGGCGAGGGGAGUGAAAAAGAACCUGAAACCGUGUACGUACAAGCAGUGGGAGCACCUUCGGGUGUGACUGCGUACCUUUUGUAUAAUGGGUCAGCGACUUAUAUUCUGUAGCAAGGUUAACCGUAUAGGGGAGCCGCAGGGAAACCGAGUCUUAACUGGGCGUUAAGUUGCAGGGUAUAGACCCGAAACCCGGUGAUCUAGCCAUGGGCAGGUUGAAGGUUGGGUAACACUAACUGGAGGACCGAACCGACUAAUGUUGAAAAAUUAGCGGAUGACUUGUGGCUGGGGGUGAAAGGCCAAUCAAACCGGGAGAUAGCUGGUUCUCCCCGAAAGCUAUUUAGGUAGCGCCUCGUGAACUCAUCUUCGGGGGUAGAGCACUGUUUCGGCUAGGGGGUCAUCCCGACUUACCAACCCGAUGCAAACUACGAAUACCGAAGAAUGUUAUCACGGGAGACACACGGCGGGUGCUAACGUCCGUCGUGAAGAGGGAAACAACCCAGACCGCCAGCUAAGGUCCCAAAGUCAUGGUUAAGUGGGAAACGAUGUGGGAAGGCACAGACAGCCAGGAUGUUGGCUUAGAAGCAGCCAUCAUUUAAAGAAAGCGUAAUAGCUCACUGGUCGAGUCGGCCUGCGCGGAAGAUGUAACGGGGCUAAACCAUGCACCGAAGCUGCGGCAGCGACACUAUGUGUUGUUGGGUAGGGGAGCGUUCUGUAAGCCUGCGAAGGUGACCUGUGAGGGUUGCUGGAGGUAUCAGAAGUGCGAAUGCUGACAUAAGUAACGAUAAAGCGGGUGAAAAGCCCGCUCGCCGGAAGACCAAGGGUUCCUGUCCAACGUUAAUCGGGGCAGGGUGAGUCGACCCCUAAGGCGAGGCCGAAAGGCGUAGUCGAUGGGAAACAGGUUAAUAUUCCUGUACUUGGUGUUACUGCGAAGGGGGGACGGAGAAGGCUAUGUUAGCCGGGCGACGGUUGUCCCGGUUUAAGCAUGUAGGCUGGUUGUCCAGGCAAAUCCGGAUAAUCAAGGCUGAGGUGUGAUGACGAGGCACUACGGUGCUGAAGUAACAAAUGCCCUGCUUCCAGGAAAAGCCUCUAAGCAUCAGGUAACAUCAAAUCGUACCCCAAACCGACACAGGUGGUCAGGUAGAGAAUACCAAGGCGCUUGAGAGAACUCGGGUGAAGGAACUAGGCAAAAUGGUGCCGUAACUUCGGGAGAAGGCACGCUGGUGUGUAGGUGAAGUCCCUGCGGAUGGAGCUGAGACCAGUCGAAGAUACCAGCUGGCUGCAACUGUUUAUUAAAAACACAGCACUGUGCAAACACGAAAGUGGACGUAUACGGUGUGACGCCUGCCCGGUGCCGGAAGGUUAAUUGAUGGGGUUAUCCGUAAGGAGAAGCUCUUGAUCGAAGCCCCGGUAAACGGCGGCCGUAACUAUAACGGUCCUAAGGUAGCGAAAUUCCUUGUCGGGUAAGUUCCGACCUGCACGAAUGGCGUAAUGAUGGCCAGGCUGUCUCCACCCGAGACUCAGUGAAAUUGAACUCGCUGUGAAGAUGCAGUGUACCCGCGGCAAGACGGAAAGACCCCGUGAACCUUUACUAUAGCUUGACACUGAACAUUGAGCCUUGAUGUGUAGGAUAGGUGGGAGGCUUUGAAGCGUGGACGCCAGUCUGCGUGGAGCCAACCUUGAAAUACCACCCUUUAAUGUUUGAUGUUCUAACGUUGGCCCCUUAUCGGGGUUGCGGACAGUGUCUGGUGGGUAGUUUGACUGGGGCGGUCUCCUCCCAAAGCGUAACGGAGGAGCACGAAGGUUAGCUAAUCCUGGUCGGACAUCAGGAGGUUAGUGCAAUGGCAUAAGCUAGCUUGACUGCGAGCGUGACGGCGCGAGCAGGUGCGAAAGCAGGUCAUAGUGAUCCGGUGGUUCUGAAUGGAAGGGCCAUCGCUCAACGGAUAAAAGGUACUCCGGGGAUAACAGGCUGAUACCGCCCAAGAGUUCAUAUCGACGGCGGUGUUUGGCACCUCGAUGUCGGCUCAUCACAUCCUGGGGCUGAAGUAGGUCCCAAGGGUAUGGCUGUUCGCCAUUUAAAGUGGUACGCGAGCUGGGUUUAGAACGUCGUGAGACAGUUCGGUCCCUAUCUGCCGUGGGCGCUGGAGAAUUGAGGGGGGCUGCUCCUAGUACGAGAGGACCGGAGUGGACGCAUCACUGGUGUUCGGGUUGUCAUGCCAAUGGCACUGCCCGGUAGCUAAAUGCGGAAGAGAUAAGUGCUGAAAGCAUCUAAGCACGAAACUUGCCCCGAGAUGAGUUCUCCCUGAGACUUUAAGUCUCCUGAAGGAACGUUAAAGACGAUGACGUUGAUAGGCCGGGUGUGUAAGCGCAGCGAUGCGUUGAGCUAACCGGUACUAAUGAACCGUGAGGCUUAACCUUACAACGCCGAAG